AUGGCGGCCGAGACUUUCCUCUUCACCUCUGAGUCUGUGAACGAGGGCCACCCUGACAAGCUCUGCGACCAGGUCUCUGACGCUGUGCUUGACGCGUGCCUCGCCCAAGACGCUGACAGCAAGGUUGCCUGUGAGACAUGCACCAAGACCAACAUGGUCAUGGUUUUUGGUGAGAUCACCACCAAGGCCACUGUUGACUAUGAGAAGAUUGUGCGUGACACCUGCCGCAACAUUGGCUUCAUCUCUGAUGAUGUUGGCCUUGAUGCUGACCGGUGCAAGGUGCUUGUCAACAUAGAGCAGCAGUCUCCUGACAUUGCCCAGGGUGUGCACGGACAUUUCACCAAGCGCCCUGAGGAUAUUGGUGCUGGUGACCAGGGUAUCAUGUUUGGCUAUGCCACCGAUGAGACCCCUGAGCUCAUGCCCCUCAGCCAUGUGCUUGCCACCAAGCUGGGUGCCCGCCUCACUGAAGUCCGCAAGAAUGGCACUUGUGCCUGGCUAAGGCCUGAUGGCAAAACCCAGGUCACGGUUGAAUACCUCAACGAGGGAGGUGCCAUGGUUCCUGUACGUGUGCACACUGUUCUGAUCUCCACCCAGCAUGAUGAGACUGUCACCAAUGAUGAGAUUGCUGCGGACCUCAAGGAGCAUGUCAUCAAGCCGGUUAUCCCUGAGAAGUACCUGGACGAGAAGACCAUAUUCCACUUGAAUCCAUCAGGCCGCUUUGUCAUUGGUGGCCCUCAUGGUGAUGCUGGUCUUACUGGUCGCAAGAUCAUCAUCGACACCUAUGGUGGCUGGGGAGCACACGGAGGUGGUGCUUUCUCUGGCAAGGACCCAACUAAGGUUGACCGCAGUGGCGCCUACAUUGCCAGGCAGGCUGCCAAGAGCAUCAUUGCUAGCGGUCUUGCACGCCGCUGCAUUGUUCAGAUCUCCUACGCCAUUGGUGUGCCUGAGCCCUUAUCUGUCUUUGUUGACUCUUAUGGUACUGGCAAGAUCCCCGAUAAGGAGAUCCUCAAGAUUGUGAAGGAGAACUUUGACUUCAGGCCUGGGAUGAUCGGCAUCAACCUUGACUUGAAGAAGGGUGGCAACAGGUUCAUCAAGACGGCUGCUUAUGGCCACUUUGGCCGUGAGGAUGCUGACUUCACCUGGGAGGUUGUGAAGCCCCUCAAGUUUGACAAGGCCUCUGCUUGA
This 1185-nucleotide ribosomal RNA is filed under the name Triticum aestivum (bread wheat). Its description in RNAcentral is "partial small subunit ribosomal RNA". The record is from RNAcentral. Lineage: Eukaryota; Viridiplantae; Streptophyta; Magnoliopsida; Poales; Poaceae.